AAGAAAAGUAAUACUGGGGCGGUUGUUGGUUCAAUAAUUGGUGUUAUUGUUGGUCUCCUUCUUGUUGGGACUGUGAUUUUCUUUUUAUACAAGAGAAAGAAGAGGCAUGGUAGUAGAGUGCAGAGUCCAAAUACAGUUGUGGUACAUCCUAGUCAUUCUGGGGACCAAAAUUCGGUGAAGAUUACGAUUACGGAGGCUAGAGCUGAUGGGAGUGCACCUGAAA
This 223-nucleotide unclassified non-coding RNA is filed under the name Hevea brasiliensis (rubber tree). The record is from RNAcentral. Lineage: Eukaryota; Viridiplantae; Streptophyta; Magnoliopsida; Malpighiales; Euphorbiaceae.